UACGUAGGGUGCAAGCGUUAAUCGGAAUUACUGGGCGUAAAGCGUGCGCAGGCGGUGAUGUAAGACAGAUGUGAAAUCCCCGGGCUCAACCUGGGAACUGCAUUUGUGACUGCAUCGCUGGAGUGCGGCAGAGGGGGAUGGAAUUCCGCGUGUAGCAGUGAAAUGCGUAGAUAUGCGGAGGAACACCGAUGGCGAAGGCAAUCCCCUGGGCCUGCACUGACGCUCAUGCACGAAAGCGUGGGGAGCAAACAUG
This 253-nucleotide ribosomal RNA is filed under the name uncultured bacterium. Its description in RNAcentral is "partial 16S ribosomal RNA". It matches the Rfam family "Bacterial small subunit ribosomal RNA", at positions 524 to 776 of the family's 1533-position model. The record is from RNAcentral.